UUUAAGGAAUUCGGCUAAAUGCCCCCGUAACUUCGGGAGAAGGGGGGCCCGGAACCUGAAGUGACUUGCUCACUAGGGUGAAGGGCCGCAGAGACCAGGGAGAAGCGACUGUUUACUAAAAACACAGGCCCGUGCGAAGUCGCAAGACGAUGUAUACGGACUGACGCCUGCCCGGUGCUGGAAGGUUAAGAGGACCUGUUAGACCGUAAGGCCGAAGCUGAGAAUUUAAGCCCCAGUAAACGGCGGUGGUAACUAUAACCAUCCUAAGGUAGCGAAAUUCCUUGUCGGGUAAGUUCCGACCUGCACGAAUGGCGUAACGACUUCUCCACUGUCUCAACCGCGAACUCGGCGAAAUUGCACUACGAGUAAAGAUGCUCGUUACGCGCAGCAGGACGGAAAGACCACGGGACCUUUACUAUAGCUUGGUAUUGGUGUUCGGUACGGCUUGUGUAGGAUAGGUGGGAGACUGUGAAGCAUGCACGCCAGUGUGUGUGGGGUCAACGUUGAAAUACCACUCUGGUCGUUCUGGAUAUCUAACCUCGGUCCGUGAUCCGGAUCAGGGACAGUGCCUGGUGGGUAGUUUAACUGGGGCGGUUGCCUCCUAAAAGGUAACGGAGGCGCUCAAAGGUUCCCUCAGCCUGGUUGGCAAUCAGGUUUCGAGUGUAAGUGCACAAGGGAGCUUGACUGCGAGAGAGACAUCUCGAGCAGGGACGAAAGUCGGAACUAGUGACCCGGCGGUGGCUUGUGGAAGCGCCGUCGCUCAACGGAUAAAAGGUACCCCGGGGAUAACAGGCUGAUCUUGCCCAAGAGUCCAUAUCGACGGCAUGGUUUGGCACCUCGAUGUCAGCUCGUCGCAUCCUGGGGGUGGAGUUGCUCCCAAGGGUUGGGCUGUUCGCCCAUUAAAGCGGUACGCGAGCUGGGUUUAGAACGUCGUGAGACAGUUCGGUCCCUAUCCGCUGUGCGCGUAGGAAACUUGAGAAGGGCUGACCCUAUACGAGAGGACCGGGCUGGGCGAACCUCUGGUGUGUCAGUUGUCCUGCCAAGGGCACCGCUGAUUAGCUACGUUCGGAAGUGAUAACCGCUGAAAGCAUCUAAGCGGGAAGCACGCUUCAAGAUGAGGUUUCCAUGCACCGUUAGGUGUGAGAGGCUCCCGGCUAGACUACCGGGUUGAUAGGCCAGACGUGGAAGUGCAGCAAUGCAUGUAGCUGACUGGUACUAAUAAGCCGACAACUUGAU
RNAcentral lists this ribosomal RNA (1236 nucleotides) under metagenome. RNAcentral's name for it is "bacterial LSU rRNA". It matches the Rfam family "Bacterial large subunit ribosomal RNA", at positions 1704 to 2925 of the family's 2925-position model. The record is from RNAcentral.